AUUGAACGCUGGCGGCAGGCUUAACACAUGCAAGUCGAACGAGUGGCGGACGGGUGAGUAAUGCUUGGGAAUCUAGAUUAUGGAGGGGGAUAACUACGGGAAACUGUAGCUAAUACCGCGUACAAUAGGCUGAGCCCACGUGGGAUUAGGUAGUUGGUGAGGUAAAGGCUCACCAAGAUGACGAUCUCUAGCUGGGUUGAGAGGAUGACCUGCCCAACGUGGACUGAGAAACGGCCCAGACUCCUCCGGGGGGCAGCCGUGGGGAAUAUUGCGAAAUGGGGGCAACCUGACGCAGCCAUGCCGCGUGAAUGAAGAAGGUCUUCGGGUUGUAAAGUUCUUUCGGUAGCGAGGCGUUAACUACAGAAGAAGCACCGGCUAACUCCGUGCCAGCCGCCGCGGUAAUAC
This 405-nucleotide ribosomal RNA is filed under the name uncultured bacterium. RNAcentral's name for it is "partial 16S ribosomal RNA". It matches the Rfam family "Bacterial small subunit ribosomal RNA", at positions 30 to 526 of the family's 1533-position model. The record is from RNAcentral.